RNAcentral lists this transfer-messenger RNA (338 nucleotides) under Sundstroemia setigera. RNAcentral describes it as "Rhizosolenia setigera SsrA". It matches the Rfam family "transfer-messenger RNA". Rfam says of the family: Bacterial tmRNA, also known as 10Sa RNA or SsrA, is named for its dual tRNA and mRNA-like properties. Its role is to liberate the mRNA from a stalled ribosome. The record is from RNAcentral. Lineage: Eukaryota; Bacillariophyta; Coscinodiscophyceae; Rhizosoleniales; Rhizosoleniaceae.
UUAAUAAAUUUGAAUUUAUUAUCAGGGGGCUGUUUUGGUUUCGACAUUUAGAAAUAAGUAAUAUAUGAUACAGGUCGAAGUUUAUAGCCUUCGUAAAAACUAUACAAUUUUAUAAUAACUGCAAAUAAUAUUUUCUCUUUCAAUCGUAAAUUUGCGAUUGCUUAAAAAUUAAAUUUUUAAUUGUUCAUAAAAAAUUUUAUCCCUAUAACUAGAUUUUUAAAGUCAUUAUAGUUUAGAAUAAUAUUGAUUACUUAACUGUUCCAUAAAACGAACUAAACCUGUGAACGAGUAUAUUAAUUAAAUCUAAAUGGACGUGGGUUCAAUUCCCAUCAGCUCCA